This 1358-nucleotide ribosomal RNA is filed under the name uncultured bacterium. RNAcentral's name for it is "bacterial SSU rRNA". It matches the Rfam family "Bacterial small subunit ribosomal RNA", at positions 29 to 1381 of the family's 1533-position model. The record is from RNAcentral.
ACGAACGCUGGCGGCGUGCUUAACACAUGCAAGUCGAACGGGAGUAUUGAAGAAGCUUGCUUUAGAGAUACUUUAGUGGCGGACGGGUGAGUAACGCGUGAGGAGCUGUCCUAUGCAGGGGGACAACAGCUGGAAACGGCUGCUAAUACCCCAUAAGCCGAGAAGUAAAAGGAUCAAUCCGGCAGAGGAGGUACUCGCGUCCUAUCAGCUAGUAGGUGAGGUAACGGCUCACCUAGGCGAAGACGGGUAGCCGGCCUGAGAGGGCGAACGGCCACACUGGAACUGAGAUACGGUCCAGACUCCUACGGGAGGCAGCAGUGGGGAAUAUUGGACAAUGGGCGAAAGCCUGAUCCAGCAACGCCGCGUGAGCGAUGAAGGCCUUCGGGUUGUAAAGCUCUGUUAAGGGGAACGAAAAUGGGCAACCUAAUACGUUGUCAACUGACGGUACUCCUAGAGGAAGCACCGGCUAACUCUGUGCCAGCAGCCGCGGUAAUACAGAGGGUGCAAGCGUUGUUCGGAAUCACUGGGCGUAAAGGGUGCGUAGGCGGUAAAGUGUGUCUGACGUGAAAUUCCUCAACUUAAUUGGGGGACUGCGUUGGAAACUGCUUUGCUAGAGUGCAAGAGGGGAUGGUGGAAUUCCCGGUGUAGAGGUGAAAUUCGUAGAUACCGGGAGGAACAUCUGGGGCGAAGGCGACCAUCUGGCUUGACACUGACGCUGAGGCACGAAAGCGUGGGUAGCAAACAGGAUUAGAUACCCUGGUAGUCCACGCCGUAAACGAUGAUAACUAGGUGUCGGAGGAAUUGACCCCUUCGGUGCCACAGCUAACGCAUUAAGUUAUCCGCCUGGGAAGUACGGUCGCAAGACUAAAACUCAAAGGAAUUGACGGGGGCCCGCACAAGCGGUGGAGUAUGUGGUUUAAUUCGACGCAACGCGAAGAACCUUACCUAGGCUAGAAAUCUGCAAGGCGAUUGGUGGAAACAUCUUUCUCUUCCCGCAAGGGAAGUUUGCAGACAGGUGCUGCAUGGCUGUCGUCAGCUCGUGUCGUGAGAUGUUGGGUUAAGUCCCGCAACGAGCGCAACCCCUGUCCCGUGUUGCCAUCAUUAAGUUGGGAACUCUCGGGAGACUACCGGCGUCAAACCGGGGGAAGGUGGGGAUGACGUCAAGUCCUCAUGGCCCUUGAUGCCUAGGGCUACACACGUACUACAAUGGUCGGUACAAACCGCUGCAACCUCGCGAGAGGAAGCUAAUCGGAAAAAGCCGGCCUCAGUUCAGAUUGGAGGCUGCAACUCGCCUCCAUGAAGUUGGAAUCGCUAGUAAUCGCAGAUCAGCAAGCUGCGGUGAAUACGUUCCCGGGCCU